GUAAAUUAGAUAAAGAGGUUAUCCUCAGGUAAAUACAUUCAUUCUUUUAUAUGAAAACUGAGUGUCUGGCAGUGCUUAAGCAUUAAUGCCAUUUUUUUUUCCCUGUUGCUUAAUAGACAUACACAAUCUAUUCCUCAAUAAAAUAAUGAGCUAUAGUCAUAAUCACAGCAUUUGAAAGAGUACUCUUCCACUUCAUAAAGUUAAUAUUUAUCAACUCUACUAACGUCAUUUUUGGCAGAUUUUGUUAAAUCUAUUCUUAACAGCUGCCAUUUUUG
RNAcentral lists this long non-coding RNA (275 nucleotides) under Gallus gallus (chicken). The record is from RNAcentral. Lineage: Eukaryota; Metazoa; Chordata; Aves; Galliformes; Phasianidae.